This 3314-nucleotide unclassified non-coding RNA is filed under the name Amphibalanus amphitrite. RNAcentral describes it as "band 4.1-like protein 4, transcript variant X1". Lineage: Eukaryota; Metazoa; Arthropoda; Thecostraca; Balanomorpha; Balanidae. The record is from RNAcentral.
CUCCCCGGCAGCCGCGCCGGCAGGUGCCGCUCCUCAGACGACCGGUGUGACGCGCGGUGCUCCCAACCAGUGCUGCUGCCGGUGCUCUGUGCUUCGUCUGUGUUCCUGUGCUCGGUCUGCAGUCACCGUUGUUUCCUUCUGUGUGAAAUUGCCGCGUUCAGCGUUGUGCUGCUGCAGCCACGGCUGAAGGUGACGGACAGCCAGGAUGAACUGUUUCCGGAGGACCAGCAGCGUUCACAGCUGCAGUAUUGUUCUGCUGGACGGCACGGAACUUUCCGAGGAGAUCAGGGAUGACAGCCUCGGCCAGGAGCUGUUGGACGUGGUGCUGCGCAGGCUCGGCAUCCACGAGACCAGCUACUUCGGACUGCGAUACGUGCACGCCUCUCGGCAACCGCACUGGUUGAACCCAAAUAAAAAGGUCCUUAGGCAGCUGAAAGGCACCAGUCCCUUUACACUCUACUUCUGUGUUAAGUAUUACGCCACUGAUCCGUGCAAGCUCCGAGAUGAAAUAACAAGGUACCAGUUUUUCCUGCAGGUGAAGAAGGACAUUGUGGACGGUCGGCUGCCCGUGCCACAGGAGCUGUCCGCGGAACUCAGCGCCUGCGUGGCCCAGUCCGAGCUGGGCGACUUUGAGCCCAGUUUGCACGGCGAGGGCUACUGUCGGCAGUUCCAGCUGAAUCCCAUGGAGCCGGCGUCAGAACAGGCUAUCUCGGCUCUGCACAGGUCGCUGAAGGGCCGCUCUCCGGCAGAGGCGGAGGCCGCCUUCCUCGAGAAAGUCCGAUGGCUAGACAUGUAUGGAACCGAUCUCUACCCCGUCAUGGGCGAUGACAGUGCCGACACCUUUGUGGGCCUGGCGCCGUCAGGUGUGCGGGUCAUCAGAGGAAAAGGAAGAGUCAGCAACUAUUUUUGGCAUAGAAUAUCCAAAGCAUUUUGCAAGAGGGACUGUUUAGUGAUCAAGACCCGCGAUAAUAAUAACGAAGAGCAGACCAUCAGCUUCCGAUGCGUCUCUAGACUGGCGUGUCAGCUUCUGCUGCAGAGCUGUCUCGAACAGCAGGAGUUCUUCCGGCAGGCCCUCGUCAGCCCGCCCGCUGCUAAUGGCUCCAAGGGAGGACGGUCUGAGGCACGGCGGGGAUCGACUGUAUCGUCGUCAAUACGACAGUGCGGCAGACGGGAAACGAGUCGACUCUCCAGCGCAGAGCACGAACAGCCACCACAAGCUCGGGACGGCGACAGCGCCACACCGUCCUCGUGUCAUAAGAGCGUGUCGAUACCGCAGCCCGUCCAGAGCGCCACGUCUCUGUACAGAGCCAACUCGGUGAGCGCCGAGACCAAGCCGUCGCCCGCGGGCUCUCCGAGGUCGGUCCGCUCGGCGCUGCUCUCCACCAAUCAGGUGGCGAGUCUGUUCAACACGCAGCCAAUCAGCAAGUCGCGCAGCCGCACCAGCGUUGACAGCCAAUCGUCGGCCGACAGCAGGACGCAGCGCAGGAACCGCCACCGUCGGGAGGGCAGCGCCGGCAGUGACGUUAGCUCGGGGGCCAGCUCAGCUCGGUCCAGCCGACGGUACAGGAACCGACGGGCAGAGUCUGGGUCAGACUCAGACAGGAGCGGCGGCAGCAGACGACACCGCAGCCGGCGGCACAGGCACCACGCCGCGGCCGACGUCGACGAGCUGAUCGACUCGGAGCCUCAGUGGCGGGAGGUGCAGCGUCUGCAAGCUGAGCGACUGCGGCCCUCCGGCUACCAGAACUCGGGCAUGGAGACCGAGACGGAGCUCUCCUACCAGCCGAAACGGCGCGUCAAACGGCACAGCCGUUCCCGGUCCCGCUCGCGCUCGCCGGAGACGAACCGUAACCGUCGUCUGCCGGUGGAGCUGCGGCGACACCUGCAGUUUGGAUUAGUGGAGCCGCCGGCCGACCCGUCCGCUGACCUCCAGUACACGCGGGUCACCACCGAGCACAAAAUGCCGCGCAUCAGAUACGCGGCCAAACGCAGCCAGAAGGGCGGUUCGGUGGAUGGUCGGUCGGAGACCUCGGAGCCCCCGCUGUCAGUGGCCGCCCCACCUCAGGACACCACCACGGACAGAGCUCUGCCGCCGACCGCCGCCUACCCGGCCGUCUCAGCGGCGUACCCGAGCACGGCGGCGGCGUACCCGAGCACAGCGGCGACGUACACGGCCCCCGGGGUGCCGUACCAGUCGGCCGGGGCGCCACACCCUCCCCCGUCUGCCGCUUCACAGUCGGCCCGGUCAGCAGCCCCCGGCCUCCAGGGACGGACACCGGCCGGGGAGCGGAUCAGGGAGGCCACAGCCAGGACGGGAAGGGAGUCGUCUCCAGCUGCGAUUGGUUCAGGUCAGACGCGGCUGACCCCGGGUCAGGUCAGCCUGCCGGCCGACUCUCCGUACGAUAACUCCGACUCCGGUCUGGGCAACGAGUCGCCGACAGAGUUCACCAGACUGUCAGCACAAGCAUCCUUGCAGAAUGGAGUAGGAGCAUCUCGUGCAAUGACGUCACACGGUGAACCGCGGGUUGUGCGGACAUUGGACACUAUGACGUCACUCUGAUGACUCAUGGCAGUGACGUCAGCUGUGGCAGUGACGUCAGUAAUAGUGAUCACGUCAAUUGUAAUAACGCCACUGGAGAGGCACCGGAGUCGUUACCGUUGCGAUGUUGUAAAUGGGUUUCCGAGCUCAUGACAUGGUGAUGACGAUCACAUCAGUAAUGAUGUGUGAAGUGUCGUUUGUGACGUGACGUUAACAGAGGAACACAGGGUAUCAGCGUUUGCUGUCAACAUGCCGUCUAGGAUAAUGGAACAUUGUCGUUUGCCUAUAGCUACGUGAAGUCCGAUAUUGCAUUCCUAACUGGCAUGCACAAUGUGUAUAGUGUGUAGGAGGGUAGUGAGGUGGGAUAAUAGAUGUCUGUUGUUGAUUCUAGCUUUCCUCGCGAUUUAUGAUCACCUUGUUAGACAUUGAUAUCGCAGCCAAGUAUGCCUGGCUUAUAAGCAAUGUCAUUGCUAAGGAUAAUAAGCUUGUGACUGUUGAUGAAGACCAAUUUGUAAAAAGUGAAUGCAUUUAUUUUUGCGCUGGCAAAAUCGAGUCAUUCGGAACAUCAAUAAUGUUUAAUGGGAUUCGGAUAGCGACUAUUCUGACAUCAUUUCGGUUGGUCCUCUAAGCUUCACAAACCUAAAAAUGCGUUUGAAUAUGUUCGGGCAGGUUGAAUUGCUGCCGCUAGUCGCUAGUACCAGUCACCUGUGGCAAAGUCUGCAUGAGUGAAUAUUUAAACUGGAUUUUUGUAACUGAAAUACACUGUUCCUGCAUA